UUCCUCCGGCUUCUUGUGACUGAUGAGC
This 28-nucleotide small RNA is filed under the name Bombyx mori (domestic silkworm). RNAcentral's name for it is "ovarian small RNA-9627". The record is from RNAcentral. Lineage: Eukaryota; Metazoa; Arthropoda; Insecta; Lepidoptera; Bombycidae.